This 492-nucleotide ribosomal RNA is filed under the name uncultured bacterium. RNAcentral's name for it is "partial 16S ribosomal RNA". It matches the Rfam family "Bacterial small subunit ribosomal RNA", at positions 30 to 507 of the family's 1533-position model. The record is from RNAcentral.
AGUGAACGCUGGCGGUAGGCCUAACACAUGCAAGUCGAACGGCAGCACAGUAAGAGCUUGCUCUUACGGGUGGCGAGUGGCGGACGGGUGAGGAAUACAUCGGACUCUACUUUUUCGUGGGGGAUCACGUAGGGAAACUUACGCUAAUACAGCAUACGAUCUACGGGUGAAAGCAGGGGAUCUUCGGACCUUGCGCGAUUGAAUGAGCCGAUGUCGGAUUAGCUAGUUGGCGGGGUAAAGGCCCACCAAGUCGACGAUCGGUAGCUGGUCUGAGAGGAUGGUCGGCCACAUGGGAGCGGAGACAGGGACCAUGCGCCUACGGGAGGGAGCAGAGGGGAAUGUGAGGCAAUAGGCGCAAGCCUUAUCCAGCGAGACCGCGUGGGAGAAGAAGGCGUUCGGUGUGGGAAGCCCGUUUGUGGGGAAAGAAAAGCAGCAGGUUAAUACGCCGCGGGACUGACGGUACCGAGUGAAUAAGCACCGGCUAACUUCGUG